This 492-nucleotide ribosomal RNA is filed under the name uncultured bacterium. RNAcentral's name for it is "partial 16S ribosomal RNA". It matches the Rfam family "Bacterial small subunit ribosomal RNA", at positions 29 to 507 of the family's 1533-position model. The record is from RNAcentral.
AGUGAACGCUGGCGGUAGGCCUAACACAUGCAAGUCGAACGGCAGCACAGUAAGAGCUUGCUCUUACAGGUGGCGAGUGGCGGACGGGUGAGGAAUACAUCGGAAUCUACUUUUUCGUGGGGGAUAACGUAGGGAAACUUACGCUAAUACCGCAUACGACCUACGGGUGAAAGCAGGGGAUCUUCGGACCUUGCGCGAUUGAAUGAGCCGAUGUCGGAUUAGCUAGUUGGCGGGGUAAAGGCCCACCAAGGCGACGAUCCGUAGCUGGUCUGAGAGGAUGAUCAGCCACACUGGAACUGAGACACGGUCCAGACUCCUACGGGAGGCAGCAGUGGGGAAUAUUGGACAAUGGGCGCAAGCCUGAUCCAGCCAUACCGCGUGAGUGAAGAAGGCCUUCGGGUUGUAAAGCCCUUUUGUUGGGAAAGAAAAGCAGCAGGUUAAUACCCCGCUGUUCUGACGGUACCCAAAGAAUAAGCACCGGCUAACUUCGUG